Molecule: long non-coding RNA, 442 nt
Organism: Danio aesculapii
Lineage: Eukaryota; Metazoa; Chordata; Actinopteri; Cypriniformes; Danionidae
Exons: 4
Source: RefSeq, a predicted model, not a curated record
GGAAAAUGUGAUUGGCUCUUUGUCUUUGGACUGACGUCACUGGUGGAUACAGCUUGAGCGCGCAUUUUCGAAUGGCUGCUGAUCACUAUUCCAGAAAGAUCAAAGCAAGGCCAACCAGGAUUAGAUGAAAAUGUGUAUCAAGAAUUCAACCAGAUAGUUAGGAAGAAUCUUAAGCAAGAAUUCUAUGGGUCUCUUGAUCAUCACUGUCCACAGCUGAUCCAGAUCUUCAGGUCAAAGAGAGGUCUUACUGUGUUGCCAUUGAGUGCUUCCAGUACUUCUUGGUGAUGACCCAACUGAGUUCUUCAAAGCAUCUUCAGAUUAUGGAGACUCAUGCCAACAUGUGCCCACUGGAUUCCUUAACCGAGAAAAUGAAGAUGUGGCUCUGCAACCCCUGUCCUUCCGCCUCCACCCAUCCUCAGUGGGAAUCAUCUAGGAGGGGAAU